Molecule: long non-coding RNA, 1289 nt
Organism: Cyprinus carpio (common carp)
Lineage: Eukaryota; Metazoa; Chordata; Actinopteri; Cypriniformes; Cyprinidae
Source: Ensembl
GUAAACUGAGAUGUACUUGUAAGUGAGUUUGCUGUAACCACGGUUGUAGAUUGAGGUGUAUUUUUUGUAGGUAAGGAUGUUGUUGUUGUCUGCAUUGUGGUGCUUUGUUCAGGUGUUGUUGAUUGUUCAGUUGUAGAUGUUAAAACAGUUGUAGUUGUUGGUUCAGUUGUAGAUCUUAAAACAGUUGUUGUUGUUGGUUCAGUUGUAGAUUUUAAAACAGUUGUGGUUGUUGGUUUACCCGUAGAUGUAAGUUGUGUUGUUUCUGUAGGAGGGGCUCUAGUUGUAAGCAGAGUUGCAGUUGUAGAUAUUAAAACAGUUGUGGUUAUUGGUUCAGUUGUAGAUGUUAAAAAAGUUGUGGUUGUUGGUUCAGCCGUAGAUGUAAGUUGUGUUUCUGUUGUUUCUGUUGAAGGGGCUGUAGUUGUAACCUGAGAUGUAGGUAUAGCUGAGUUUGUUGUAACCAGGGUUGUAGAUUGAGCUGUAUUUGUUGUAGGUAGAGUAGUUGUUGCUGUCUGCAUUGUGGUGCUUUGUUCAGAUGUAGUUGAUUGUUCAGUUGUAGACGUUGACGGAGUUGUGGUUGUUGGUUGAGUUGUAGAUGUUAAAACAGUUGUGGUUGUUGGUUCAACCGCAGAUGUAAAUUGUGUUGUUGUUGUUUCUAUAGGAGGGGCUGUAGUUGUAAGCAGAGAUGCAGUUGUAGGUGAGUUUGUUGUUACCUCAGUUGUAGAUUGAGCUGUACUUGUAGGUAGGGAUGUUUUUACUGUCUGCAUUGUGGUGCUUUUUUCAGAUGUAGUUGAUUGUUCAGUUGUAGAUGAUGAAGCAGUUGUGGUUAUUAGUUCAUUUGUAGAUGAUGAAGCAGUUGUGGUUGUUGGUUCAGCUGUAGAUGUAAGUUGUGUUGUUUCUGUAGGAGGGGCUAUAGUUGUAACCCGAGGUGUAGUUGUAGGUGAGUUUGUUGUAACCAGGGUUGUAGAUUGAGCUGUACUUGUUGUAGGUAGGGAUGAUGUUGUUGUCUGCAUUGGGGUGCUUUGUUCAGAUGUAGUUGACUGUUCAGUUUUAGAUGUUGAAGCAGUUGUGGUUUUUGGUUCAGCAGUAGAUGUAAGUUGCAUUGUCUCUGCUGGAGGGCCUGGAGUUGUAAGAAGAGUUGCAGUUGUAGGUGAGUUUGUUGUAACCUCAGUUGUCGAUUGUGCUGAACUUGUGGUAGGUGGUGGUGAUGUUGUUGCUGUCUCUGUUGUUGUGCUUUGUUCAGAUGUAGUUGACUGUUCAGUUUUAGAUGUUGAAGCAGUUGUGGUUGUUGG